This 99-nucleotide ribosomal RNA is filed under the name uncultured bacterium. RNAcentral describes it as "partial 16S ribosomal RNA". It matches the Rfam family "Bacterial small subunit ribosomal RNA", at positions 1384 to 1482 of the family's 1533-position model. The record is from RNAcentral.
UACACACCGCCCGUCACACCAUGAAAGUUGUGCCUACCAGAAGUCAUUGCGUUAACCGUAAGGGGACAGAUGCCCAAGGUAGGAACGAUGAUUGGGGUG